Long non-coding RNA from Haplochromis burtoni (Burton's mouthbrooder), 1615 nucleotides. RefSeq lists it as uncharacterized. The record is from RefSeq and is a predicted model, not a curated record. Lineage: Eukaryota; Metazoa; Chordata; Actinopteri; Cichliformes; Cichlidae. The transcript is spliced from 3 exons.
UCUAUUCUUCUCUUAUUUGAUUAACAGAAGGAUUGAUUUCAUUCAUUAUCUGAGUAUAUAUCAUUGAUACUCUUCUUUUGUUUAAUAAAUUGACCUUCAGCAAAGAGUCUAAACAGGAUGUUGGGAAGUAUCUGGAAAAUUUACGUACAAAGUCUCUAAUGUUAUUGUUUUAUUCACAGACUGUAGAUUAUUUUUUAUUCAGAAUCAAAGAAUCAAAAUAACAGAAUUACAAAGUGCCUUCAUGCUACUGUUGUAAUAAUACUGAACUGAACUUAAAUGAGCUGAACUGUGCUAUACAGUGAUUGAUGAAUUUGUUAGACACCAUCCAGUGUAAUUUUUAUGCCACACUGCCACAAAUUAAGUGUAUUGGUAAUCAUUUUUGUAUUUCUGUAAUGGUUAAUCCACCAGAGUGCACAAGCUCUUUAAUCCAAAUGAUAUUUUAAUGCUAAUUUAUAAAUAUUGAUUCAUUUCUAACUUCUCACAAAGAUGUGAGUUCAGUUUCCUAUUUGUCUAAUCAAUGAAAUCAUUUGUAGUUUCAACCAUGUUUUUGACAGAUUUCUAAAAUAUUAAUCUUUUUUUAUUUUUUUAAUGACAGGUGGUCUGACAUUUUGUUAAGCACUGUGUGUAUCACCAUCAGUUACAGUCUUGACAGGAAAAGAUAAAUUUGUGUCUAUUUUGGAAAAAAAAUGAGUAUUUCCAGCCUGGCAUUGUAACCUCAUUUGGACAGGUAGUAGCUGCCAAAAGUAUUGUUGCUUUAAAACCUUUAGCCCCAACACCUCCAAGAAUUCCCGAAGCUAAGCAACAAGGACCUCGGCCUGGGAUGUUGCUCUGCCAUGCAAUAGCCAUCGCUAAAGAAAUGAUCCUGAUGCCCUCACACGUCGUCACUUCUGCGCCACCCUGGGAAACCUGCUAAAUGUUGAUGGAGCCAUAUCCUUGUUGCUGGAGGAAAAUGUGCCCGGCUUACUUCUAAGAACUGCAUGCACAGAUUACCACAGUGCAGUGAGAGAAGCUGCCAUAGGAUCUUUAUACCUGUACAGCCAGCAGGAUGCCAUGCGUCAGGUCCUGAUGUCUUUUGAUGCCAGUACGAAUCUUGUUCAGGCUUCACAACAUGCUCCUCCACAGUGUGACUAUCAGCGGCUCAUUGGACAGCUGACUGCACCAGAAAAGUCAGCAGCUUAAAAACCUGCUCCCUGUUUAACUUUACAGCAACAUAUUUGUCUGAAGCCAUGUGUUAGUGAACGACCGAGUCCCCGUUUAUGAAUCAAAAUAAAGAAAGGAUGUAACUUCUCAAAAAUCACGGUAGGUUUUCUUUUUCAUUGAUAAAAUUGUCAUAACAAUAAUUCAGUCUGUAUAAAAGUGGCGAAUGAGGAGUUUCAUUCAUUUCGGAGUCAUGAGUAUUUCUACAGGCACUGCAGCGUGCUGUCGAUUUUUGAAAAGCUUGAUGGAUUUUUAAGGCGACAUUUUUCCAUAUGCAGAUCAACAUGUGAAUUUAGAGGCUUUCGCAUUUCAAAGCCCUUCAAAGCCCAAAGUCUUCAAGAAGUCUGUGUAUUUGGGCUAAAUAAAGUAGAAAACAGCGAAGCUGAAUUUCCGAGGACUGGACGUCGAAAGUGUUUUU